RNAcentral lists this ribosomal RNA (209 nucleotides) under uncultured bacterium. RNAcentral describes it as "partial 16S ribosomal RNA". It matches the Rfam family "Bacterial small subunit ribosomal RNA", at positions 524 to 732 of the family's 1533-position model. The record is from RNAcentral.
GACAGAGGGUGCAAACGUUGCUCGAAAUCACUGGGCGUAAAGGGCGUGUAGGCGGGAAUGUAAGUCGGGCGUGAAAUCCCUAGGCUCAACCUAGGAACUGCACUCGAAACUGCGUUUCUUGAGUACUGGAGAGGAAAGCGGAAUACCUGGUGUAGAGGUGAAAUUCGUAGAUAUCAGGUGGAACACCAGCGGCGAAGGCGGCUUUCUGG